Monodelphis domestica (gray short-tailed opossum) is the source of this 1542-nucleotide long non-coding RNA. RefSeq lists it as uncharacterized. Lineage: Eukaryota; Metazoa; Chordata; Mammalia; Didelphimorphia; Didelphidae. The record is from RefSeq and is a predicted model, not a curated record.
UCCAUUCUUGGGGGGAUGGGAAGAGGCUUUCCAAUGCGCAGUUUCCCUCCUCAAUGCAGAUCAUUGUCUGAGAGAGUGACGGUUGCUCUUAGCCUUCCUCCAUCCCCAAGCCUCCCGGAUCAGGGGCUCAGAGCUAGCAAAGAGAAGUUGCUUACUGACCUGCAUGUAGUCUUCAGCCACCAGGAUGAAGCCGUUAUUAUCGAUCAGGAGCCAUAAUUGGUGUUGAGUUGAGUGAGGAAGAGAAGAUUCAGAAGGAAUUACAGAUUUAGAGCAGGAAGCCAUCUGAGAGUUCAUCAAAUCCUACUUCCUAAUAUUACAAAUGAGGAACCUGAGACUGAAGAUGGACUGAAGAUUGAUUUGCACAAGACAAUACAGGAGAGAAGGAGAAGGAUACAAGGAGAAAAGAGACUUACUUCAUCAUCACAGCUAAUGGAGCACCUGCCAUCCAGAGAGGCGCACUGUAAAGAAAAGGCACAGGAAGAAGCAUGUCACCUGGUGUUUCUCCAGCCUGACUUAGUGGUCAUUUCUUGGGCCCUGCCAAAGACAAAGACUGGAAAGACCCUGCAGGGAGUAGCUCACUUUAGCUAAAUGCUGCCUUCUUCCCAAGGCAAGGACUCUCUGUUCUCUGUAGCCAAACAGGAUGCAAAGUCUUCAGCCCUCAUUUGAUAGAACUACAAUUUGUGUUUUUGUAUCUAAGAAGGAAAUUUCCAUGGACGCUACCAUUCCCUACUUCCAGCUCACUAACUCACAUUGAAUACUUCUUCUCAGUUUAUUCUUUGAUCUCCAAAUUCCCCUUGCCCUUGCUCCUGUGAUUUGGAGCAAGUUUCAGGGCCUCAGUUUCCUAAUUUGUGAAAUGAGCUGAUUGCACAAUAUCACCUCAGAGAUCCUCCUAUCUCUAGAUCUAGAGCAUGUUCACAAUACUGGCCUGUCCCCACUUUCCGAGCCUUGAGAUUUCCUACUGUUGUCAUUCCCACAUCCUAUUCCCUGGGAUAGAAAUGCUGGGAAUGCAGCCAGAGCUUUCUUUGUGCUAGAGGCAAAGGUGGCAGCAGCCAGUAGUACCCAUCUCUAAAUGGCCCGUGUGUCUGUGGACAUGACAUCCUGAUAACCACAACAGGAAGCAUCAUGCUCAUUUCUCCAGGGCUUCAAGUUUGCAAGAUGCUCUACAUAUUGUUAUUGCAUUUGGGGGAAAGUUGAAAAAAUGCCUCCCAUUCUAAGGAGAUGAGGCGAACGUUCUCUGGGGAAUAUUCUAGUCCAUCUGACAUGGGCGCACCCCCCAAAUAGUGAUGUUUAAGGGGUUGUUCCCAUUUGGGAGGACAUGAUUUUGGUUGCUCUCUGGUCAGUUGCCUCGAUAGUACCCAGAAUGUCAGGUUUCAGCUGCCAAGCAUCCUUUUCUCACGUCAUGAAAAGAAAGGGAAUGGGGUCCUUGGCACACUGGGAUUUUGCAAACAUUCAUUUGGAAAUCUGGCACUUCUCUAGCUCGGGAGACCCAAAUGGGAACACCUGUAUAAUAACAGAGCUGUUAAUGUCUCAAUAUACUGAUUA